This 180-nucleotide ribosomal RNA is filed under the name Andromeda polifolia. Its description in RNAcentral is "5.8S ribosomal RNA". The stretch from base 1 to 140 matches the Rfam family "5.8S ribosomal RNA", at positions 17 to 154 of the family's 154-position model. Rfam says of the family: 5.8S ribosomal RNA (5.8S rRNA) is a component of the large subunit of the eukaryotic ribosome. The record is from RNAcentral. Lineage: Eukaryota; Viridiplantae; Streptophyta; Magnoliopsida; Ericales; Ericaceae.
UAUCUCGGCUCUUGCAUCGAUGAAGAACGUAGCGAAAUGCGAUACUUGGUGUGAAUUGCAGAAUCCCGUGAACCAUCGAGUCUUUGAACGCAAGUUGCGCCUGAAGCCAUUAGGCUGAAGGCACGUCUGCCUGGGCGUCACGCAUCGCGUCACCCACUCCCCCUUGCCCCAAGCGGGCAU